RNAcentral lists this long non-coding RNA (615 nucleotides) under Monodelphis domestica (gray short-tailed opossum). RNAcentral's name for it is "lncRNA (ENSMODG00000044484.1)". The record is from RNAcentral. Lineage: Eukaryota; Metazoa; Chordata; Mammalia; Didelphimorphia; Didelphidae.
AAGUUUUCAGUCUUUUAACAAUGUCCAUUAAUUUCUGAAUUCUUCUCUUUAUCUGCAUUGUCCUCUUCAAUGGAAUGGUCCUCUCCUUACUGAUCUUUCUGACUGCAGACUCAAUUUGCCUGAUGAUUCUCAGCUUCCACAAUUUCAUCUUCAUUUUCUUCUUCAAAGAUUUCAGGCAACCAGAGCACAAGGAAUAGAGCGGAUGGGGUCACUUGGCUUUGAAGACUUCCUGUAUAUUUUUAAGCCGCCCAUGACAUCAUUUUUGCAGGACAGCUCAGAACAAUAGGCGGGGGCGGUAAGAAAAGCACCAAAUCCACAAAUUCAGAUGAACAGUGUAAGAGGGUGCAACAGAAACACAUCAACAAUCUGGACUUUUCUGACAUGACUGAGAGAAGAACAGUCGAGAUUUGUGAGCCUGGGCCCCAAGGUUUCAGUGAUGGUCAAAGUAGACACUCCACUCAGAGCCCUCAGCCUUUUUCCCUGUUUUUCAACUGAGCUGUGACCUCCUCUUUCAGUUACUGGGAAUAACAACAACAACCACACAGAGACAAUCAUGUGACCCCAAAUUGUCCACAUGGCCAAGUUCAAUAAAUUAGCAGCCAGAAAUUUUAAUCA